UACGGGGGGGGCAAGCGUUGUUCGGAAUUACUGGGCGUAAAGGGCUCGUAGGCGGCCAACUAAGUCAUACGUGAAAUCCCCCGGCUUAACCGGGGAACUGCGUCUGAUACUGGAUGGCUUGAGUUCGGGAGAGGGAUGCGGAAUUCCAGGUGUAGCGGUGAAAUGCGUAGAUAUUCGGAAGAACACCAGUGGCGAAGGCGACUAACUGGACAUGUAUUGACGCUGAGGUGCGAAAGCGUGGGGAGCAAACAGG
RNAcentral lists this ribosomal RNA (253 nucleotides) under uncultured bacterium. RNAcentral describes it as "partial 16S ribosomal RNA". It matches the Rfam family "Bacterial small subunit ribosomal RNA", at positions 524 to 776 of the family's 1533-position model. The record is from RNAcentral.